GGUGAACAAUCGGGAGGCCGUGCUCAUGGUCAGCAAUGGCCGGAGCGCGGUCGAACUUUUGUAAAUUUGGACGACUAGAGGAAGAAGAAGUCGUAACAAGGUUUCCGUAGGUGAACCUGCGGAAGGAUCAUUAGCGUUAAUUGGUCUUGGUGCCAUGCGAAAAACAUGUGGAUCGUGGGCUAUGUGACCCCUCUGUGGGGGGUAUUUUGUCGCGAACUUGGAGAUUUGGCUGAUGGAUAUAUUAUAUAGAUAAACAAAAUACAACUCUUAGCAAUGGAUAUCUUGGUUCCCACAACGAUGAAGAACGCAGCGAAAUGCGAUACGUAAUGCGAAUUGCAGAAUUCAGUGAAUCAUCGAAUCUUUGAACGCAAGUUGCGCUUUCGAGAGCCCUCGGAAGCAUGCCUCUCUGAGUAUCGGUUUCUAUAUCUCUCACACUGGUGUGCUGGAGAAUGGGAGUUGCUGCACCUCUCUGCAUCUCCUGAAGUCAACGUCGGCCGAAGUCCAUCGGGUUCUUGGAACGAUAAUCCGUCAUGGCGCCCAAACCAUACACACAAGAUCUCAGAUGAGGUAAGACUACCCGCCGAAUUUAAGCAUAUCAAUAAGCGGAGGA
RNAcentral lists this ribosomal RNA (610 nucleotides) under Polymyxa graminis. RNAcentral's name for it is "eukaryotic LSU rRNA". The stretch from base 263 to 416 matches the Rfam family "5.8S ribosomal RNA". Lineage: Eukaryota; Endomyxa; Phytomyxea; Plasmodiophorida; Plasmodiophoridae. The record is from RNAcentral.